This 492-nucleotide ribosomal RNA is filed under the name uncultured bacterium. Its description in RNAcentral is "partial 16S ribosomal RNA". It matches the Rfam family "Bacterial small subunit ribosomal RNA", at positions 29 to 507 of the family's 1533-position model. The record is from RNAcentral.
AGUGAACGCUGGCGGUAGGCCUAACACAUGCAAGUCGAACGGCAGCACAGUAAGAGCUUGCUCUUACGGGUGGCGAGUGGCAGACGGGUGAGGAAUACAUCUGAAUCUACUUUUUCGUGGGGGAUAACGUAGGGAAACUUACGCUAAUACCGCAUACGACCUACGGGUGAAAGCAGGGGAUCUUCGGACCUUGCGCGAUUGAAUGAGCCGAUGUCGGAUUAGCUAGUUGGCGGGGUAAAGGCCCACCAAGGCGACGAUCCGUAGCUGGUCUGAGAGGAUGAUCAGCCACACUGGAACUGAGACACGGUCCAGACUCCUACGGGAGGCAGCAGUGGGGAAUAUUGGACAAUGGGCGCAAGCCUGAUCCAGCCAUACCGCGUGGGUGAAGAAGGCCUUCGGGUUGUAAAGCCCUUUUGUUGGGAAAGAAAAGCAGCAGGUUAAUACCCCGCUGUUCUGACGGUACCCAAAGAAUAAGCACCGGCUAACUUCGUG